This 301-nucleotide ribosomal RNA is filed under the name uncultured bacterium. RNAcentral's name for it is "partial 16S ribosomal RNA". It matches the Rfam family "Bacterial small subunit ribosomal RNA", at positions 509 to 807 of the family's 1533-position model. The record is from RNAcentral.
CAGCCGCCACGGUAAUACGUAGGGUGCGAGCGUUAAUCGGAAUUACUGGGCGUAAAGCGUGCGCAGGCGGUUGUGUAAGACAGGUGUGAAAUCCCCGGGCUUAACCUGGGAACUGCGCUUGUGACUGCACAGCUAGAGUAUGGCAGAGGGGGGUGGAAUUCCACGUGUAGCAGUGAAAUGCGUAGAGAUGUGGAGGAACACCGAUGGCGAAGGCAGCCCCCUGGGCCAAUACGGACGCUCAUGCACGAAAGCGUGGGGAGCGAACAGGAUUAGAUACCCCAGUAGUCCCUGUCUCUUAUAC